CCGCCAUUAGCUCAGCGUGGCCAGAGUAUUGCUUUAUUUACAGUAGGGGCGGGGUUCGAGCCCUUGAUGGCGGCCCA
RNAcentral lists this transfer RNA (77 nucleotides) under Atlantibacter sp. RC6. Its description in RNAcentral is "tRNA-Asn". Lineage: Bacteria; Pseudomonadati; Pseudomonadota; Gammaproteobacteria; Enterobacterales; Enterobacteriaceae. The record is from RNAcentral.